This 585-nucleotide long non-coding RNA is filed under the name Homo sapiens (human). Its description in RNAcentral is "HSALNT0120014". Lineage: Eukaryota; Metazoa; Chordata; Mammalia; Primates; Hominidae. The record is from RNAcentral.
AUAGCUCUUACAAAGACGGUCAGAGAUUUCAUUUUAAAACACUAUUAAACCUAGAAGGUAGUAGCCAAAUUGGAGAGGAUGUUUGAUCCUCUCCCAAUUUUCCACUGCUGCAAAGCAGAGACUGAUAGUAAAUCAUUCUUUGCAGUCACUUCUCCUGUUUUUUAAGAAGAAGAAAUCAUUUUAGAAGUUUUUCUCUUUUUUUCCUUGCAAGAGCUUCAUAACAUCGGCACACAGCUUGUGAAACAGAGGGAGAGAACAGAAACCACAUCCGGAAGUAAUCAUCUCUGCAGCACUGUAAUGGAUUAUAUGUGUUAAAGGGGCCGUGGACUAAAUUAGCGUGAAGGCUAAAAAUAUAACAAGCAAAGACUGAGAAGGAGCUGGAAGAAAUUAAGAAGAAUGCUUUCCAACGUUUGGAAAUUCCUUGAACGAUGCACAUAUAAUGUAUAUGCAAUAACUCUUCAGUAAAGGAAAAGACAUAAAGAAAUGAGAGACUGCAUAAAAGCCUGGGCAAUUCUAUAUUUUAAAUAAUAAGGUGAAACGGCAAAAUGUUUUGUUCUACGUGGUAUCUGUUCAACUGUAAUUCUG